GAUGAACGCUAGCUACAAGCUUAACACAUGCAAGUCGAGGGGAAACGACAUCGAAAGCUUGCUUUUGAUGGGCGUCGACCGGCGCACGGGUGAGUAACGCGUAUCCAACCUGCCCAUCACUUGGGAAUAACCUUGCGAAAGUAAGACUAAUACCCAAUGAUAUCCCACGAAGGCAUCGGAAUGGGAUUAAAGAUUUAUCGGUGAUGGAUGGGGAUGCGUCUGAUUAGCUUGUUGGCGGGGUAACGGCCCACCAAGGCAACGAUCAGUAGGGGUUCUGAGAGGAAGGUCCCCCACAUUGGAACUGAGACACGGUCCAAACUCCUACGGGAGGCAGCAGUGAGGAAUAUUGGUCAAUGGGCGAGAGCCUGAACCAGCCAAGUAGCGUGCAGGAAGACGGCCCUAUGGGUUGUAAACUGCUUUUAUAAGGGAAUAAAGUGGGUCACGUGUGACUUUUUGCAUGUACCUUAUGAAUAAGGACCGGCUAAUUCCGUG
Molecule: ribosomal RNA, 492 nt
Filed under: uncultured bacterium
Lineage: Bacteria
Description: partial 16S ribosomal RNA
Rfam family: Bacterial small subunit ribosomal RNA
Source: RNAcentral